RNAcentral lists this ribosomal RNA (463 nucleotides) under uncultured bacterium. RNAcentral's name for it is "bacterial SSU rRNA". It matches the Rfam family "Bacterial small subunit ribosomal RNA", at positions 337 to 795 of the family's 1533-position model. The record is from RNAcentral.
UCCUACGGGUGGCUGCAGUCGAGGAUUUUCGUCAAUGGGCGCAAGCCUGAACGAGCGACGCCGCGUGCGGGAUGAAGGCCUUCGGGUUGUAAACCGCUGUCAGUGGGGAGGAAAUGCAUGUGGGUACUCCCACGUGUUUGACUAAUCCGCAGAGGAAGUGUGGGCUAAGCUCGUGCCAGCAGCCGCGGUAAGACGAGCCACACAAACGUUAUUCGGAAUCACUGGGCUUAAAGGGUGCGUAGGCUGUGCAGAAAGUUGGGUGUGAAAUCCGACAGCUUAACUGUCGAAGUGCACUCAAAACUACUGUGCUCGAGGAAGACAGAGGUAAGCGGAACUGAGGGUGGAGCGGUGAAAUGCGUUGAUAUCCUCAGGAACACCGGUGGCGAAGGCGGCUUACUGGGUCUUUUCUGACGCUGAGGCACGAAAGCUAGGGGAGCGAACGGGAUUAGAUACCCUAGUAGUC